This 292-nucleotide ribosomal RNA is filed under the name uncultured bacterium. Its description in RNAcentral is "partial 16S ribosomal RNA". The record is from RNAcentral. RNAcentral also lists the same sequence under 1 other name.
GGACUACAAGGGUUUCUAAUCCCGUUUGCUCCCCUGGCUUUCGCGCCUCAGCGUCAGAAAAGGUCCAGUGCGCCGCUUUCGCCGCCGGCGUUCCUUCUGAUAUCAACGCAUUUCACCGCUCCACCAGAAGUUCCGCGCACCCCUACCUUCCUCCAGCCCGCCGGUAUCGAAGGCACUUCUACGGUUAAGCCGUAGGAUUUCACCCCUGACUUGUCCACCCGCCUACGCGCCCUUUAAGCCCAGUGAAUCCGAACAACGUUCGCACGGUUCGUAUUACCGCGGCGGCUGGCAC